UAUAGCUCAGUUGUAGAGCACUUGCCCAGUAUGCAUGAGGUUCUGUGUUCAAUGCCCAAGAUUACAAAAAAAAAAUCAAUGGAUCCAGUGAUGGAUAUUACAUUUUGCAUGUUGUUUUGAAUUCUGAGACAGAGUUUAAGUUGCUAAGGGCCUUAUUAAGUUACUAUGGCUUCAAACUUGCAAUCCUCCUGUCUCAACCUCCCAAGCCAAUGGGGCCAAUGGAAUUACAGGCAUGAGCCACUGCACCUAGCAAAUACUGCUACUUCAGCAUUUAAUAUUAGAAGGAUUCACUUUGGUCCUAAAACAUGAUUUUUUAAAAUAUUUACCAUGAAUUUUAAUGUUUUAUUCAAUAAUGCAUAAGUUCUACAAUACUAAGGAUUGAAUUAACAAGAUGUUCUUCAGGUGUAAGCUAGAUUUGCAAAUGGUAAAGAGAAGAAAAGGAAAGAGAUUAUCAAAAAAUAAGUUAUUGAGAUUGAGGCAGGAGAAUCCCAAAUUUAUGCCAAGCUGGGGUGGGUGGGGAUGGUGGUGUUGGGAGUGUAUAUCAGCAGGAGAGCACUUGUCUAGCAUAUGCAAGACCCUCUGUUCAAUCCCCAGUACUUAAAUACACACACACACACACCCCCCCCUGAGAUGAGUUUAACAGAAAUUUUGUUUCGUUUUCUGGACCAUAGGUGCUAGAAUCAUAUUAAUCAUAAUCCUUUGUUCAUGGUACAUCUUUGUCACUGUUUCAUGCAAGGCCUUCUCCAUUUCAGUAUUUGUUUAAUUAUACAAUGAGCCUGGGUAUUUUUAUACUUUCUAAUACAAAAAUAAGGCCAUAUUGGUUUUGUAUUCCCCAGAAUAUGACACCAGAAGGACUAAAUACCACCUUUUCUUUAGUGCUGGAAACUGAAACCAGAGCCUGAAUGUAUGCACUCCCACUGAGCGAGUUACACCCCUGGGCCCUACCACCUUUUUAAAAAUUUAAUGUUGUUUGCACAAUUCUCC
Molecule: long non-coding RNA, 984 nt
Filed under: Marmota monax (woodchuck)
Lineage: Eukaryota; Metazoa; Chordata; Mammalia; Rodentia; Sciuridae
Source: RNAcentral